UAUGGAGAAUUGAUGAACGCUGUUCAUCAAUAUAAGUUUCCGUGUUUCGUUUUGUUCAGUUUUGAGAGAACUAUCUCUCAUAUAUAAAUGUAUGUUCUUUGAAAACUAGAUAACAGUGUAGCUCAUAUUUUUUAAUUUUUAGUUUGGUUAAGUUAGAA
RNAcentral lists this unclassified non-coding RNA (158 nucleotides) under Bacillus cereus. RNAcentral also lists the same sequence under 1 other name. Lineage: Bacteria; Bacillati; Bacillota; Bacilli; Caryophanales; Bacillaceae. The record is from RNAcentral.